Molecule: long non-coding RNA, 1444 nt
Organism: Teleopsis dalmanni
Lineage: Eukaryota; Metazoa; Arthropoda; Insecta; Diptera; Diopsidae
Exons: 5
Source: RefSeq, a predicted model, not a curated record
UUGGGAAAUAUCAAUACCAGUCGUGUUUGAUUUGGCGAGUGGACUGGUUAAGAUUUUCUUGUUGAGUGGUAGUGGUGAUCAUUGUGAAUUUUUAAAUUAUGUUUGAACAAGUUAAAAUAUGCUUAGAAUUUUCCAAAUCUGGUAUAGUAAAAAAAUGUUUGAAAUCGGCGCUUGAGAUGCUUGAACAUAAUUACAUGUAUUGCCACUGGAUUACAACAUAUACUAUACAUUAUGUGGGUCAAACAAUAUCACAGAUUCUCAUCACCACCCAAUCGAUUUCAGUAGUACACAAUCCAAAUUAAUUUCUGUGACCAGAGAUUAAAAGGACCUUAAGCGAAAAGUUUUAUUGUCAUUAACAAAUAGCUUUAGACGUAAUAUAUAAAGAUAAAAGUGUUACCUUCUAUAGCACAUCUUCACUAUGUUGAUUUACAUGGAUCAAUAACAAAAACUAUUUAUUUUCAUCACUGAUUUCUUCUUCACUACACAAAUGGUGGUUCAUUGAUUAAUCACCAAUGUAGGGUGUUUAUUUAGUCGGAUGAUAUGGACUAAUCCAGUGAUGAAUACUGUCGGAUGAAAUGGACUUACAUUGAGUUCCAGGGGACUUAAUACUAAAAUAUUUUUGGGAUUUGGUCUAGUCAAAGAGUUACACAAAAAAUGUACGUCGUGAAUUCAUCGAAAUAAAUGAAAUCAUAAAUGCGUAUACUGAAGUGUCAGUUCGACCAAAUUUCAUCUUGAGAUGUUUCAAUCUUUCAGCAAAAGACAACACGUAAGACGUUUACUUGAUCAGAUAACGUGUCAAAUGCGUAAAGCUUCCAUAUUGAAUCUCCAACAGACGGAUAACAAAAUAUUACUGGAGAUGAGCAAAUAUUUUCAAUAUUAUGAUUACUACAUUUGGUGAAUCGAUAUCCUGGAUUAAAAAUAUAUUGCAUAACAGUUUGGACUGAAUGUGAGCAGAAGUUAGGAAGUUUUGGUUAUAUAAAUAAUGAUGGUCGGUCGCAAAGGAGAUACUGAGGAGGUCACCAAUUAUCAAUAUUGCUAAUAAUGCUAACUUUCUUUUAAAAGCAGUACAAAAUUUUAAACCACUAUUUAAGUACAGAAAAUUGAAAUCAUUUCAAUACCAGUAAUUUACAAAAUACCGCAUAAAUACCGAUGUAAGAUGUCUAGGAUCAUCUCACCGGAGAGGAGUAAAAACAGAUAAGCUAUUAUCAUUUUCUUAACAAUAUGUGCUAAUAUAAUUAAGACAAAAAUCUUAUUUAAACAAUACAAAUUGCUUUUGUUGGCAAAUAAUACUACAUUAUAAAAGCUGUGCUAAAAAUUUUUACGAUUACUGCGGUUUUGAUAAUUAUUUCCAAAAAAAAGUGUUAAAGGAUCAUUGGAUAAAUAUUGAAGCCUAAUAUGAUUUUGGUUUAAAUUAAAUUUUAAUGUACCUUAAACCAAUAUAUAU